Molecule: long non-coding RNA, 283 nt
Organism: Haliotis rubra (blacklip abalone)
Lineage: Eukaryota; Metazoa; Mollusca; Gastropoda; Lepetellida; Haliotidae
Exons: 4
Source: RefSeq, a predicted model, not a curated record
GCCCGGAUGAUUCAUUGAGUGCGGUGACAUUGUAGGUGCAGGCGUGUGUACUGUUGCUGAGGUGUGUUGUUAAAGAAAAGCAAAGAAACCAACAUGGGCAAAGUGAAAGUGCACGUCGUUUACUGUGGCGCAUGAGGUUACGCCCCCAAGUUCCAUAAGCUGGAGACAGAACUUAUGGACGAAUUUGGGGGCGAAAUCGAUGUGACUUAUGAGGCCACACCAACCACCACUGGCAAGUUUGAGGUUACUGUCAAUGGCAAGCUUGUGCAUUCUAAACUGGUAA